UCACAGACGUCCACUCUGCCCACCACCUCAAAGAAGCUGGUAGCUGCUUCUGAAGGGAACAGAAGCCAGCAGGGGCAGAGAAGGACAAACUCACCAGCACCUCUUCUGGAAUGUUGACCCGGUCUGGAGAAAGCGUCGCCGUCUGGAAAGGCAGAGGAAGGGC
Long non-coding RNA from Salvelinus sp. IW2-2015, 163 nucleotides. RefSeq lists it as uncharacterized. Lineage: Eukaryota; Metazoa; Chordata; Actinopteri; Salmoniformes; Salmonidae. The record is from RefSeq and is a predicted model, not a curated record.